GAUGAACGCUGGCGGCGUGCCUAAUACAUGCAAGUCGAGCGAACGGACGAGAAGCUUGCUUCUCUGAUGUUAGCGGCGGACGGGUGAGUAACACGUGGAUAACCUACCUAUAAGACUGGGAUAACUUCGGGAAACCGGAGCUAAUACCGGAUGAUAUUUUGAACCGCAUGGUUCAAAAGUGAAAGACUGUCUUGCUGUCACUUAUAGAUGGAUCCGCGCUGCAUUAGCUAGUUGGUAAGGUAACGGCUUACCAAGGCAACGAUGCAUAGCCGACCUGAGAGGGUGAUCGGCCACACUGGAACUGAGACACGGUCCAGACUCCUACGGGAGGCAGCAGUAGGGAAUCUUCCGCAAUGGGCGAAAGCCUGACGGAGCAACGCCGCGUGAGUUAUGAAGGUCUUCGGAUCGUAAAACUCUGUUAUUAGGGAAGAACAUAUGUGUAAGUAACUGUGCACAUCUUGACGGUACCUAAUCAGAAAGCCACGGCUAACUACGUG
RNAcentral lists this ribosomal RNA (497 nucleotides) under uncultured bacterium. Its description in RNAcentral is "partial 16S ribosomal RNA". It matches the Rfam family "Bacterial small subunit ribosomal RNA", at positions 28 to 507 of the family's 1533-position model. The record is from RNAcentral.